UUGGAGAAGGGUCUGGCUGCAGACCAUGGGCGAGUGGAGCUCCACUCUCAAACCGGAAAUACGUCACCUCCACUUGAAAACAUCAAGAUGGCGUCGCCGGGAGUACUUCAAACUUAAACUCAGGGAUAGGAUUGGCAUAGAAGAUGCAGCACUCUUUACAUUUUAAAUAUCAAAUGUAUAUCAAGUGUUAUCCAUCCUCAUAACACCUCCACAAAUAGAGACUGAAACUUCCGAUCACCAUCACCUUGUCUGCUUUGGGACUGUCAUAGGUGAAUGAUGCAGUACUAUUCUGUGUUGAAUUUACCUAACGUCAGCACACAGACAUAGUAUUGUUCCAGUUUUGCUGUGCUCAUGUCUUCUUUGUGUCCCCAGCCCAGCAAUCAGAUGCAUCAGAACAACAAAGCACAACUGUGGUGGACCAGGCACCUUCAGCAACAAGUAAAUUGCUUUAACAUUAAUGAUAAUUAAAUGUCAGUAUUGUAAUUAAACUUGACCCAUCUGACGUAAUUGUUCAUGCCAGAGAUUUAACAACACUGUCAGCCAGGAGCAUA
Carassius auratus (goldfish) is the source of this 551-nucleotide long non-coding RNA. RefSeq lists it as uncharacterized. The record is from RefSeq and is a predicted model, not a curated record. NCBI's taxonomy places the organism in Eukaryota, Metazoa, Chordata, Actinopteri, Cypriniformes, Cyprinidae. The transcript is spliced from 3 exons.